RNAcentral lists this ribosomal RNA (465 nucleotides) under uncultured bacterium. Its description in RNAcentral is "partial 16S ribosomal RNA". It matches the Rfam family "Bacterial small subunit ribosomal RNA", at positions 339 to 795 of the family's 1533-position model. The record is from RNAcentral.
CUACGGGCGGCUGCAGUGGGGAAUAUUGGACAAUGGGGGAAACCCUGAUCCAGCAAUGCCGCGUGUGUGAAGAAGGCCUGCGGGUUGUAAAGCACUUUCGGUUGGGAGGACUGCUUCUAGCACUAAUAUUGUUGGAAGUUGACGUUACCUCCAGAAGAAGCACCGGCUAACUCCGUGCCAGCAGCCGCGGUAAUACGGAGGGUGCAAGCGUGAAUCGGAAUUACUGGGCGUAAAGCGCGCGUAGGCGGCUAGAUCAGUCGGGUGUGAAAGCCCCGGGCUUAACCUGGGAACUGCAUCCGAUACUGUCUAGCUUGAGUACAGGAGAGGAGAGUGGAAUUCCACAUGUAGCGGUGAAAUGCGUAGAUAUGUGGAGGAACACCAAUGGCGAAGGCAGCUCUCUGGCCUGAUACUGACGCUGAGGUGCGAAAGCGCGGGGAGCAAACAGGAUUAGAUACCCCCGUAGUC